Molecule: ribosomal RNA, 773 nt
Filed under: uncultured bacterium
Lineage: Bacteria
Description: bacterial SSU rRNA
Rfam family: Bacterial small subunit ribosomal RNA
Source: RNAcentral
AGAGUUUGAUCAUGGCUCAGGACGAACGCUGGCGGCGUGCUUAACACAUGCAAGUCGAACGGAAAGGCCCUUCGGGGUACUCGAGUGGCGAACGGGUGAGUAACACGUGGGUGAUCUGCCCUGCACUCUGGGAUAAGCCUGGGAAACUGGGUCUAAUACCGGAUAGGACCGCAUGCUUCAUGGUGUGUGGUGCAAAGCUUUUGCGGUGUGGGAUGAGCCCGCGGCCUAUCAGCUUGUUGGUGGGGUAAUGGCCUACCAAGGCGACGACGGGUAGCCGGCCUGAGAGGGUGACCGGCCACACUGGGACUGAGAUACGGCCCAGACUCCUACGGGAGGCAGCAGUGGGGAAUAUUGCACAAUGGGCGCAAGCCUGAUGCAGCGACGCCGCGUGAGGGAUGACGGCCUUCGGGUUGUAAACCUCUUUCAAUAGGGACGAAGCGCAAGUGACGGUACCUAUAGAAGAAGCACCGGCCAACUACGUGCCAGCAGCCGCGGUAAUACGUAGGGUGCGAGCGUUGUCCGGAAUUACUGGGCGUAAAGAGCUCGUAGGUGGUUUGUCGCGUUGUUCGUGAAAACUCACAGCUUAACUGUGGGCGUGCGGGCGAUACGGGCAGACUAGAGUACUGCAGGGGAGACUGGAAUUCCUGGUGUAGCGGUGGAAUGCGCAGAUAUCAGGAGGAACACCGGUGGCGAAGGCGGGUCUCUGGGCAGUAACUGACGCUGAGGAGCGAAAGCGUGGGGAGCGAACAGGAUUAGAUACCCUGGUAGUCCAA